This 253-nucleotide ribosomal RNA is filed under the name uncultured bacterium. RNAcentral's name for it is "partial 16S ribosomal RNA". It matches the Rfam family "Bacterial small subunit ribosomal RNA", at positions 524 to 776 of the family's 1533-position model. The record is from RNAcentral.
GACGAAGCGUGCGAACGUUGUUCGGAAUCACUGGGCUUAAAGGGCGCGUAGGCGGGUAGCCAAGUCGGUGGUGAAAUCUUUCGGCCCAACCGGAAAAGUGCCGCCGAUACUGGCUGUCUCGAGGGAGGUAGGGGCGUGUGGAACUGGUGGUGGAGCGGUGAAAUGCGUAGAUAUCACUUGGAACGCCAAUGGUGAAAACAGGUAGCUGGGGAUGUGCCGACGCUGAGACACGAAAGCCAGGGGAGCAAACGGG